AGUGAACGCUGGCGGUAGGCAUAACACAUGUAAGUCGAACGGCAGCACAGUAAGAGCUUGCUCUUACGGGAGGCGAGUGGCGGCCGGGUGAGGAAUAAAUCGGAAUCUACUUUUUCGUGGGGGGUAACGACGGGCAACUUACGCUAAUACCGCAUACGACCUACGGGUGAAAGCAGGGGAUCUUCGGACCUUGCGCGAUUGAAUGAGCCGAUGUCGGAUUAGCUAGUUGGCGGGGGAAAGGCCCACCAAGGCGACGGUCCGUAGCUGGUCUGAGAGGAUGACCAGCCACACUGGAACUGAGACACGGCCCAGACUACUGCGGGAGGGAACGGCGGGGAAUAUUGACCAAUGCGCGCAGACUCUCUCCAGCCCUACGCAAUGCAGCAGGAGGUCCCUCGCCUGGUAAAGCACUCUUGUUGGGAAAGAAAAGCAGCAGCUUAAUACCCCGCUGUGCUGACGAUACCCAAAGAAUAGGCACGGGCUAACUUCGUG
Molecule: ribosomal RNA, 492 nt
Filed under: uncultured bacterium
Lineage: Bacteria
Description: partial 16S ribosomal RNA
Rfam family: Bacterial small subunit ribosomal RNA
Source: RNAcentral